CGAAAUAUCCAAAGAAGAGAAAAUUGUCUUAAGUUAAAUUUGGACGAAUAUGGAGAUGAAUUAAACAAAUGUAUUAAAUUCGAAGACAUUUCAAAUUAUUUGUACUAACAUGGAACAAAUGUGAACUUUCGGUCCUUGCUAAUAAUGUAUUUUAAACACACAUUUUCGCUUAACAGACUUUUCUCCCAUCCUGUGAUCGAAUAUCCAUAAUAAAGAGAUAAAGAAUAUUCCAACGACUGGAUAUUUUCCAUCUUCAUUGCAAUUUAAAUGUCUUCGAAAAUCCAAAUGUUUUCUAUCCUGACAGAUUUCUUCCCGAAAAUUCUUCCAAACGCUCACCUUACUCAUACAUCCCAUUUUCGGCAAGACCCAGGAUGUGUCCGGGAUAUUACUUGGCCAUGAUGAAAAUUAAACAGAUUCUGGCAACAAUUUUAAAAAUGUUGAAAGUAGGAUAUUUGGAAAAAACCUCACUCAAGUUCGGAAUUACUCUUAAUCCUAGUCGAUUACUCGAACUCCAAUUUGAACCAAGAAAACCGUAAAUAUUUUUACGUUAGAUGCUUUUGAGGCAUACUCAUAAAUUAUUACCGUCAAAAGUAUUGUAAUAUUUGGCAUUUUGUUCGAAAGAGCAGUGCUUUUGCUCUUUCUAAACGACGUCGUAAUAAAUCGAAAUGAAACCUAAACCAUAUAUUUUUUGGCAU
Molecule: long non-coding RNA, 695 nt
Organism: Centruroides sculpturatus (bark scorpion)
Lineage: Eukaryota; Metazoa; Arthropoda; Arachnida; Scorpiones; Buthidae
Exons: 3
Source: RefSeq, a predicted model, not a curated record